Molecule: non-coding RNA, 20 nt
Filed under: Arabidopsis thaliana (thale cress)
Lineage: Eukaryota; Viridiplantae; Streptophyta; Magnoliopsida; Brassicales; Brassicaceae
Source: RNAcentral
UGAUGGGGAUAGAUCAUUGC